GUGCCAGCCGCCGCGGUAAUACGUAGGGGGCAAGCGUUGUCCGGAAUCAUUGGGCGUAAAGCGCGCGUAGGCGGCUCGAUCAGUCUGCUGUGAAAGUCAAAGGCUCAACCUUUGAAUGCCGGUGGAUACUGUCGAGCUAGAGUCCGGAAGAGGCGAGUGGAAUUCCUGGUGUAGCGGUGGAAUGCGCAGAUAUCAGGAGGAACACCAACGGCGAAGGCAGCUCGCUGGGACGGUACUGACGCUAAGGCGCGAAAGCGUGGGGAGCGAACAGGAUUAGAAACCCGCGUAGUCC
Molecule: ribosomal RNA, 292 nt
Filed under: uncultured bacterium
Lineage: Bacteria
Description: partial 16S ribosomal RNA
Rfam family: Bacterial small subunit ribosomal RNA
Source: RNAcentral